This 272-nucleotide long non-coding RNA is filed under the name Gossypium raimondii (Peruvian cotton). RNAcentral's name for it is "long non-coding RNA (GRAI_LNC005723)". The record is from RNAcentral. Lineage: Eukaryota; Viridiplantae; Streptophyta; Magnoliopsida; Malvales; Malvaceae.
AAAAGUACAGGGACCAAAAGAGAAAAUAAGCCAACCCUAGUGCACGUGUCACUCCCCAAAAGGUCGAUAGUCUGAAGACUAAAGAGGAAACAAAUUAAAAUUGAAUGGAAAAAUUAAAAAGAAAAGAAAAAAAAAGGUCGAUAGUCUGAAGACUAAAGAAGAAACAAAUUAAAAUUAAAUGGCACAAUUAAAAAGAAAAGAAAAAAAAUUCAAAGUUUGGACCAUAAUAAAUAGUGCCUAAAAGCGGAAAGAUUUGGGCAGCAAUUAGACCC